AUGGUCCCGGCGUGUGAUCACCCCCCCCGGGGGGCUAACUUGUUGGAGAAAGUGAGUGAUCUCAUUGAUCCGAUCAUAGGGGCUUGGGAUGAACAACUCGUGAGAGAUAUGUUCUGGCCCGAUGAUGUCAAACAUAUCCUUCAAAUCCCUCUUCGGGAUGGUACUCAGGACUUCAUCGCUUGGCACUACGAUAAGAAAGGGAUUCACUCCUUCAAGAGCGCCUACAAACUCCAGAACCAGCUAGAGCGUACAAAGUGUGAUGGGGGAGUGGGUGGAAGCUCACUCGAAGCGGGAAACCUGGAGAGUACAAGUGAUGACUCGUGGAAAAGAUUGUGGAAGCUGCCAUGCCCUCGCAAUAUUCAGAUGUUUGCUUGGCGGCUCAAGCAUGAUUCCCUGGCUCUCCGCACCAACGUGGCGAGGAAGGGGAUCCCAUUGCCGAUACAAAAUGUCUUUUAUGUGGAAGGGCAGACGAGGAUGGCGCCCAUCUGUUCAUCAAGUGCAAGCACACCAAGGAGGUGUGGUGAGCGCUCGAGCUGGAGGAACAACGAGUCAUGUUGCAGAAGUUAG
RNAcentral lists this ribosomal RNA (567 nucleotides) under Triticum aestivum (bread wheat). RNAcentral describes it as "partial small subunit ribosomal RNA". The record is from RNAcentral. Lineage: Eukaryota; Viridiplantae; Streptophyta; Magnoliopsida; Poales; Poaceae.